CAAAAGGGGUGGGGAGUGUUGGCUAGCUUCCCUGCCAGGCGUGGUAAAGGGUGGCACCUCUCCUAGAGGGAGGGGGCUUCACCUAGAGUCUCUCCCCAGGGACCUCCGCCGCAGGCAUCCCAGCCUUCCAGACCAAAGAGGAGAGAGAGCUUCUCUGGGGCCUGGGAAGAACCAGGGACAGUCAGCUCUGCCCAGGAAAGUGAGACAGAGGGAGAGGUGAUUCAGGGGCUCCAAGAUGCCAGGGCUGCGAGGCCUCACUGCCCUGGGCGGAGGUGAGAAAACGAGGCCCACAGAAGGAAACGGACUUGCUGUAGACCACACAGCAACACACGAAUUGCUCGAAACCUCGUGCAAAAUCAGACCUCACCUCGCACUCCGCCUGCGUCCUGCUCCGUCGGGAGAGGAGAGCGGGGUUCUUGCCCGAGUUGGACACCGUCAGGUGCGAGAUCGUGAUGAGUCAGGCCACCCAUCUGGACGCGGCCCUCACAGCUCUCAGAUUUGUGAGCCGCUGUGUGGCUUUCCGUCCUUCUCCCUCCUGGCACCAUUCCUUCUCCAGUGACAGACUGAGCAAAUCCGGGGAAGGCUGGGUUCCAGGCCGCUCGGGAGAACUCCCAGAGACUGGGAACGCUGGCGCUUCUCCAUCAGGGGCUCUCCCACCCGCCACAAGAAAAUAUGCCUGCCUUGCCAUGCACCCCAGCAACGAACUGGAUGAAGACCAGGAGAUCUGGAUUCCUGCCUCCUUUGAUUAGAUGUGCAAUUUAGGCACAUUUGAAAAAUUCUUUGGGGAGUCAGUGUCCCCCUGUGUCUAGUGGCAGUUGCUGAGCUCUACACUGUCCUGCCAGUCCCAGGCAAGAGAAAGGCCCAGGAGGAUGCUCAGAACCUAUUGCUCCCUGAUGUCCUUUUUCACUUCUGUUUGAGCUCUUGAUUACAGAUGGGUGAAAACUCUCUUCUGCUCUGCAGUCUCCUUCCCUUCUAGGACUUUGCCAGUACAGGGCCCUGUGAACUGCAGGAUCUGGCUAGAAUCUGCCUCUUACUACCUACCUACCCAGGGCCCAAUCCUACUACACUCUGCUGCCUAAAUUUAGGGCAGAAAGGGAUUUAAGAGAUUAUCUAACUCAGGGUUUUCCAAAUUUGCCUUGCCUAAAGAAUCUGGAUGCUUGUUUAAAAACACAGAUUCCUGGGUCCCUAAAUCUAUGGAAUUAGACUCUCUAGGGAAAAGAACUGAGAAUUAGCAUUUUUAACAAGGGGCCACUCCGUGCUUGAUAUAAGGGGUUGAUAGUAGAUACUUGUCAGAGGCUUAAGCAUAGAGGAUCUAAAACAAACAGCACCUUUCCUAGGGAACCACCUGGCCCCUAAGGAGUUUAUCUUCACAUUAGGAAGAUAAAGCAGGCUGUUAGAGAGUAAUUGGAUUAGCACAAAGAUUGCUCCCCUAGGGACUCCCACCCUUAGCUGACAGCACUGAAGAUUAGAGAUGCCCAGGGUCCCCAAACUGGCCUUCUGCCUGAUCAGAUACUAGAUCUCAAUACAGCCUUAAAGCUAGGUCUUCCCACAUGAGUCAGCCCACACAGUCAUUAAGGGCCUCACCCACAUUUCCUAACUUCCCCUGUUUCAGGUCCUGUCCCCAUCCAUCACCAGCGCUGCCCUCAGCCAUGUCCCCAGUCCCCUCCCCUUUCCUCUCCAACAGGAGUCCAGAAGUAGGCAAAGAAGCCCUGGGUGUCUGAUUUCUUUUUUAGGUCCUGGAGGCUAUCUUUGUCUCUAUUCAAAUUUUGGGUUUCGAAACAAGGAUGGAAGACUUCAUCUAUUUCCCCCACCUCUUCCCCAUAAUCAACUUCCUUCUCUACUUUAACCACAGAUCAAGCCAGAUUUUUCUUCUAAAAUGAUGGGGAAUUUGAAACCUCUGUCCCUCUUCCUUCCUGUUGAUUUAACCUGACCAAGUCUUCGAGCUCCAGGACAAAACUCAGGUUUCCCAGGACUUUCUCAUAGCUCUAUUCUACACUGCUCUGUCUUGCCUCUGGACUCCAACAAUAACAAUUAUUAUUCUAGCAGCUACCACUCAUUGCAUUUUUAUUAUGUCCAGGUUCUGUGCCAAGUAUUUUACAUGGAUCAUCUUAUUUAAUUCUCAUGGCAACCCUCCAAAGUAGAUUCUAUUCUUAGCCUCUUUUCACUGACUAGGAAACCAAAGGUUGGAGAGGUUAGGUAACAUACACAAGGUCACAAAAGUAGUAGAGCCAGCAGAGACUCAAACACAAGCUGGCCUGCCUGACCACAAAGCCCUUGCUUUUAACCACAGUGGCAUCUGCCUGUCUAUAGCCUUUGCUUUCUUCCAGUCCCAUUAGGGCCUGCAGCCCGUGCUAUCUUCUGUUAUCUAACGGUUUCGGUUUCUUGGGUGACAAUCUUGUAUCCCCAGUGAGACUGUCAGUUAGUUCAAACAGGCCAGCCCCGUGCUGCGAACAGAGAGCACUUCCCUUAAACCAUCCAGGCAUAGAAGCAUCCAUUCAUCUUAAACGUAAAGGCCUUCCGAGGAAGAGCUCUAACAAGCCUAAUUGCCCUGACUACAACCAAACAGCCCUCAUUGUCAGAAAGUUCUUUAUGUCUAAUCUCAAGCCCUCUGCCACACCAUAAACCAAUUUCCUUUCCUUUCCUCAUCCCUAGCCCUUGGGAAGCCGUUGCCAGCAGUGGUUCAGAGCAAGAGCAGCAGGGUCUCAGUCCUGGAGCUUGGCCCCCGAAUGAGCUGUGUGAUGCAGUGAGCCUGUUUCUUCAUCUGUAAAAUGGGCUCAUAAAUGCUUCCCUCACUGUUUUGUUUUGAAAAUUAAAUGAAAUACUAUGCAUAAAACACUUUACAAAGUGUUUGGCAUAUAGUACAGGCCUAAUAAACAGUAGUUAUUAUUA
Long non-coding RNA from Lemur catta (Ring-tailed lemur), 2889 nucleotides. RefSeq lists it as uncharacterized. The record is from RefSeq and is a predicted model, not a curated record. The transcript has 2 exons. Lineage: Eukaryota; Metazoa; Chordata; Mammalia; Primates; Lemuridae.